Molecule: ribosomal RNA, 518 nt
Filed under: Schizochytrium aggregatum
Lineage: Eukaryota; Bigyra; Thraustochytrida; Thraustochytriidae
Description: partial Bacterial large subunit ribosomal RNA
Rfam family: Bacterial large subunit ribosomal RNA
Source: RNAcentral
AAGAUGAUGUAUAGGGGGUGACGCCUGCCCGGUGCUGGAAGAUUAAAUGAUGGGGUGCAAGCUCUUGAUUGAAGUCCCAGUAAACGGCGGCCGUAACAAUAACGGUCCUAAGGUAGCGAAAUUCCUUGUCGGGUAAGUUCCGACCUGCACGAAUGGUGUAAUGAUCUGGACGCUGUCUCAACCAUGAGCUCAGUGAAAUUGUAGUAUCGGUGAAGAUGCCGAUUACCCGCGAUGGGACGAAAAGACCCCGUGAACCUUUACUACAGCUUAGCAUUGACCUUGGUCAUCCGAUGUGUAGGAUAGGCCGGAGGCUUCGAAGCGGGUGCGCCAGCAUUCGUGGAGCCAUCCUUGAAAUACGGCCCUUUGGCUGUCUGAGGUCUAACGCGCCUAUGGUGCGGACACUGCUUGGUGGGUAGUUUGACUGGGGUGGUCGCCUCCAAAAGCGUAACGGAGGCUUCCAAAGGUGCCCUCGGGCCGAUUGGUAACCGGCCUUAUAGAGUGCAAUGGCAUAAGGGCGC